RNAcentral lists this long non-coding RNA (31392 nucleotides) under Coffea arabica (coffee). RNAcentral describes it as "long non-coding RNA (CARA_LNC003577)". The record is from RNAcentral. Lineage: Eukaryota; Viridiplantae; Streptophyta; Magnoliopsida; Gentianales; Rubiaceae.
UUUAAUUUACUAAUAUCAGGUUCAUUGUUGUCAAAAACCUGUAGAACCUCAUCUCUGGCACGAGCCUGCCAAUCAAAAUGUUGACUCAAUAAAAUUAAUGUCCAGGCGAGCAAUCCUGAGGUUGUCUCUUGUCCAGCCAAAUAGAAUAGCUUGCACUCCUCAAUGACUUCUUCAAGGCUCAUGCAGUUCUUAUUUCCAUGUUGUCGGAUCUCAUUAAAAUUGGAUUCCAAUAAAAUACGCAACAAGUCAUCACUUGUAGCUUCACCUGUUUGAAUUUCCUUCAGCCUUUCGUUGAUAUUGCCCAUAACUAAUGAGUUUACUUCCUUGAAAAUCUUCUGCAUUCUUUUGUUUCUUUCUGUUGGCACAAAACUGAAUGCAAAAUAGCAAUAACCAAAUAAGCUAAAUGAUACAAUUACAAACUAGAAAUUGAAAGACAGUACCGUACCUCCACCCUGGAAGGCAAAUGGAUUGCAUAACUUGCUCAAUAUACAAAGCCUGUUCUCUUUGGAGUUCAAAGAUCCUUCGCCCUUUUUCAUGGUUGCUACCAAAAGCUGUUCUUGAAAUUACAUCACCAGUAAAUGUUUGAAGAUAAGGCCACACAUCUAAUUCAAAAGAUCCUUCUGCGGGGGCAAGGUUCUCCCAUUUGCUUAACAUCUCAUUACAACUCAGAUAAAAUGCUGGCACCAUGUACUAUAUGUGAAGAAUCAACAGCGCAAGUCUUCCAGCUUUUAUGUUCUUCAUUAAUCAAAAAGUAAGAAUGGAAAUAUUAUUCAGUGAAAUUUUAAAAUUGGAAAGGCUGCAUUUGGUUCUCUAUCCGGACUAGAUUGGAACCAUAACUACAUUUAUAUGAUGCAAUACCAAACACUAGCCAGUCCCAUGUCUGAUAAAUAACAAGAAACGGCCAAAAGCGUGUAAGAUAUUGAAACAGCACCAAAUUUCAGCAGAAAAAGCUAGAAACAACCUUCAAUUUCUCUACAUGAAAUGCAGGAUUCAAUAAUCUUCUGUGUUUGGCCCAUUUUUCUGUAUCCAGGCUAGCAAGUCCUAGUGCUAGAAGUUUACUGAAUGGAUUUGCCCGAGGCUUCUGAUAAGUAAAAUAUUUUGCGAAGACCUCCUUUACUUGUUCAGGAUCCAAGAUAACCAUUGCCGGCCUUGGUCCAAGCCAAAAAAAGCUAUUUUUACCUACAAAAUAAUUUUUGAUAAGCAACUUAUCCACUCUUUAAAAAAAAAGAUUGGGUCAACCCAUAUAUGAAAUGCAUGAUUGCCGAAAAACACAGCAAACCAAAUAGUCUUCGGGCAAAUUUGGAGAACAAACCUUUAUGUUGCAUUGUUUCAUUGAUGAAGGGCAUGAUUCUAGGCAAGAUAUCAUCUGUUAAAGAAAUUGGUUUGGACUUAGCCUCCUCAAGCAUCCUUCCCAUGUCUCUGGUGUCUCCAAACAAGAACCCGUAAGAGUUUCCCUGUAGACCUUGCCGCCUGAGGCGUUUCUCCAUCUUCUUUGGUGUGAUCCAAGCCCAAUUCAAGAAUCUCCAUGCCCCGAUGAGAAGAACUAUGACUGAUGAAGCUCCAAUCGAGCUAUAGAAAAAUUCCAUUUUCUCUGAUGCGCUUCCACUCCUUCAGUCAAACUUUCUGCUGGCAGGGGGAACUUGCUAAGCGGUUAGUUAUUAAGGACGGAGAACCUCAACUUUGGGACACAUCAUUCUGAAAUCUAUGCAUAUCCAUCUGUAAAAUCGGUAAAGACAAAGUAGCUAUAAGUCAUAAUUUGUGCUAAAUUUAUAAUUAUUUUUUCCUUUGAUUUUAAUCAAAUAUUAUUUUAAUUGAUAUAUUCUACUAAUAUUUGGUAUUUGGGAUUAAUUGCAGGAAGUGGUGAAGAAAAAGUACCGAAAAUCGUCAUUCCAGCAGAUUUCCUAUAGUUUGGCGUGCCCACGCCUAACUCCAGCUUUGACGGAUUUUCGGGAUGAUUUGCACACGCGAAAGCUUCCAAAACUAAAUAAAGCAGCGGACUACAAUGCUGAAAAGCAGUGGGGCCAUUUCAAAAGCUGAAGAAAGCUAUCUAUAAUAGGAUUCCUAUUGUUUAGGAAAAUCGGUACAUUUUGAAGGAGAGAAAUCAGGAUGGGAAUCUGUUUGUUCUCUCGGUGGGCCUGGCCUAAAAGGAAAUGGAUUUCCUUCAUCCCUUUGAGUGGCUAAAAACGUAGAGGAUUAGGAGACUUAGGGAGGCUUGUCUUUAAAUUUGUUUUUACUUGGAAAAGCUGGGGGGAAGGUACGGAGGUCGGGGACUUUUCCUCGUAGCCGACUUUUACUUUUCUUCCUUGGCCGAUUUGGCCAGGAACAAUUUGGUAAGAUUCAGAUAGCUUUUUCGCAUGGUUGUUCUCCGUUAAUGGAGAACUAACCUUCUAAUUCUAGUCAAAGGACAACUGAAGAUUUGGUUCUGUAAUUACUAUGAGAUCGAAUUUAUUUUAAUCGCUUUCUCAUUUAUUGGUAUUUAUAUGAUUCCUGUUUUUAAUUGUUAUAACUCUUGUGUAUGAUUGAUUAGUGCGCAAUAAUUAAUUAUUCAUAUAGGUUAUUUUGCUAAAUAGGGGUAAUUGAAUCCGUAAUUGUUCGUUACCUCUAUCCCAGUAGCAAUUGGCGUAAUUGGGUUUAUGUCAGGGAAACAUACGAUCUAAUUUAAACAAAUCCUCUUAGCGUGUUUGUAGGUUAGGAUUGGGCCUUUCUAAUUUUUAAUGCAAUCUAGAAAUUAAAUCCUACGGUCGUACCUAGGAUUGUUUUUGGGUUAGGGAAAUAGUUAACGGUCGUACCUUAGCUAUCGAUAAAUUAAGGAAGGGUUGGUUGUUUAUCGCGUGCAUGACAACUAUAACCAAUCUAUUAAUAAAUGUGGAAUUAUCUGCGAAUCGAUGAUCAGUGCAUGAACCAUUUCUGAAGUGUACCCUUGACUAGAGUUUCUUUUACUUAUUUCUCUUAAUCAAUUAUUUUCUGCAGUUAAUUUAUUUAGUUAGUAUUUGAUCCAAAAACCCCCAUACUUUGGACUCUAGAAGAAACGAAUUAUUCCCAGUCCCUGUGGAUUCGACCCUACUCACCGCUAUAUACAAAAUCUGUAUUUUUCUCGAGUAGGUUUUUAUUAUUGCACAGGUUCGGCACCUGUCAGUAGCUUGAAGGUAUGUUCUAUGUUUACGGCAUCUGCAUAAAUGGAGAUGCUCUGCGACUUCAACACUCACCUAUAAAGGACAUUUGAGCCCUUAAUAUUCUUGUUUAUGGUAAAAUGAUUUUUCUACUCGUUCACUUAAAUUACGCUUAAUUUACUAUAUGAACACACAUAAUACAAUUAUUAUAUCCUCUGUAUUUAAACGCUUUCCUAGUAACUACACUUUUUUUUUAAAAGAAAAAUUAGCACUCUUGAGGCCCCCCUAACAGAGGUGACGAUAAAGGAGAACAAAUCAACAUAGCUCGAUUAUCCUGCAAGCCUCGCAAAUCAUCAUCAGAAGUCUUUUUCUAUCUGCCUUCUAGAAGAGAGUCAGUUCAAUAAACAAAGUGCCCUAAUGUAAUAGAUGCAGAUUAGGAGUAUCAAAGUCUUUUUCAUUUAAAAAUAGCAAGAGAAAUUCAAGGGUUUGCAAAUUAGCUAAACAAAGUGCUGCAAAUUGAUAGCACAAGGUACAGAGGUCCUAAAACUGAUAAUUGAAGAUAGUUUAGGGGAAAAUGUUGCAAUAAGCUUUGGAUGUAAUUUUAAAUACUUGAGCAUGAGAAGGUCGCAUGUUACAGUCUUGACUCUCAAUGGUUUGGAAACAAAAAGAUCAAUGUGAAAUUUGUUUUUGAUCAACUGCAUCCUCUAAUGCGGUUCAUUAAUAAACAUAAUAAGAAAUCCCAGAACAUUAACAUUUGUCCUUUUUAACCUAUUAACAUUAAUACUUUGCAAAAUAGCAAUAACUCCAAAAUCUUCUUGUAAUUGCACCAAAAGUUUGUUAAACCUUACAGAAGCAGCAACCUAAAAGGCUAGCAAGAUAAGCAACAUGUAGCAAUUACAGAAGUUCAGUCACAUAAUCAAUAACACACAGACAUAGUUCAAGUCCUGGAUUCAGAUAACAGUUUUAUAUUACAGUUUCUUCAUAAUCAACUGAGCACCAUACUGAGGUUGAAGCAGGGUACGAAACAAGUAUGGGGCAUGCGUAUACAAUGGAGAAAGCUCAAAGGAAAAGCGCUGUAAAAUUAGAGCUAAUGCCAUAUUUGCUUCAAGCAGAGCAAAGUUUUGCCCAAUGCAUAUCCGAGGUCCCCCACCAAAUGGCAGAAAACACUGCUGGCCCUUAGUAGCCUUUGCAACUCCCUCGCUAAAUCUCUCCGGGUUGAAUUCCUUUGCAUCAUCACCCCAUAAACUUGGAUCAUGAUGUAGCAAGAUUGAAGGCAUCAAGACAAUCAUUCCAGCAGGUGGAGAUAGUUCCCCUAAUUUAGUGUCUUGGUUAACCCUCCGGGAAAUCAUAACUCCUGGUGUAUAUAGUCUUGGAACCUCAUUAAGGAUCAUAGUCACCUGUAAAAGAAGAAUUACAAACCGAUGCUUAAAUGGAGUGUGAACUUCGUUCCAAGAGAAGAAAAUUGUAAGAUAAGUAUCCAGACAAUGUCAACUAAUAGCUGGUCCCUACUAGAAAGCAGAAACAUUACACUACACUCGGAUAUCGUUGUGCUUCAGGUAAUGGCAAAAGUAAAACGUGUCCUGAGUGAAUGGAAUGUUAAGCUAUGAUAUUCCUUAUGAAGUCUUCUGCAUCCGAACCCACGAAACUAAUUAUUCAUCAAAAGAGAACCUAAAAAACAAGUCUGAAAUGUGGCCAACAUUCAUGAUAUUCGAGUUUAGUCACUGCAGAUUGGUGAUACAAAACUGAAAUUCUUGAAUAAUAUCAAACUAUUCUGUCAUCAGAGCUUAUCCUCUUGAUAAAUUGAAGCUACUUACAAUUUUCAGCCAAUUUAAAUCUUCAAAAUCCGGUAUAUUGUUGCCAAAGACCUGAAGAACCCAUCCCUAGCACGAGCUUGCCAGUCUGAAUGCUUGCUCAACAAAAUUAGCGUCCACACAAGCAGGAUUGCAGUUGUCUCAUGUCCAGCAAAAAAGAAUAGCUUGCACUCCUGAAUGACCUCUUCAGAAGUCAGUCCAAACCUUUCAUUCCCAUGUUCUUGGAUCUCCUUGAAGUUGGGUUCUAGAAGUAAACCCAACAAGUCACUAUGAAAAUUUUCUUCAUAUUUUUUGUUUCUUUUACGGAAUAUCUAGUAAUGUGAUAGGACGAUUUUCUGCAGCAAAUCAGCCUUGGAUUGAUCUCUUUAUAGAUUAAGAGAUGUCACAUGUUGGUUAUAAUCAUCCAAGUGAUGACCUCUCAUUACUAAAGGAGUUACUUCUAUUCUAAUAGUACUUUAAUGAUUAAUUGUAGUACUUCACACUUGAAUGAACAGCCACAAAUUUUGUUAUUUUGUGAACCUUGAGACCUUUCAUCUUUUGAAAAUCUCCAACAAAUUCAUGGUGAUUAAAAAUUUUGCAAAUAAAGUCAACUCAACUGAGAUAAUUAGAUUCUCUGUAGUUUAAUUUCUUCAACAAAUGUUUGACCAGGAAGAAAAAAUGGUGAGUAUAGCCUUAAAACCUCAUGCAAGAUCAUUGUGAUAUGUGAGAAAUGGAAGGAGACUACUUAAGACAAUUUAUUGGCAUAUGAGAAGCUGCAACCUAUCAUGAGUUGACUUAUAUCUUUUAGGUUAAAAGUUCUUUUACGUACAAUAUGCCAUGGAUUUUGGUAUAUAAUUGACUGAAAAUCUUUUAGGUUAUACAGACCAUCAAAUUGUGAUAUUUUUGGUCCCAGCAAUGUGUUGCAAAAUCUAUUCUCUAGCACGUUCUUGCUAGUCUGGGCAGAUGCUGAAUACAACAGCUUACACUCUUCAAUAAUUUCUCUUGUAAUCGCACAGAAUUUCGUCUUGUCUAAGCUGCAUUGGAGAUCCACUUACCACGAAGAAAUAUUUUUGAAUACUAGCUAAUAAGAUUUACAGACUACUGAUUAAUGUUUGAGAACAGCUGUUAAAUGAUUUUAAGCCAUGACAAGCCAUUUGUUUUCUCCAUUAUCAAAGAAAAAGGAAAGAUCUCUUGCAAAAUUAAACAAGCAGAUGUAAUAUUUCUCUCUUAAUUUGCCGUGAGAAAUACAUUACGUGAAUCUGUACUGCUAUAUUCAUACAGAUCCAUUGACAUACCGAACUGGGCGGGACUUAAACUAGUUUACAAGCAAAGUUAAGCAUAGAAGAUGGUGCUUUAUUUCGUUAAAAGAUAAUCUGCUGCCACAUACCGGGCUAGCAAGUCAAGUCAUAUAUAUGAAACAACAAAAACUAUAUUAUCUUCUGCAAAAUCAAGUGAGCUCCAUACUGGGGUUGAACUACUGCUGUAGCUCUUCCAGGAGCAUGAGUAUAAGAUGGUGAGAGUUCAAAGGAGAAGCGAUGCAGAAUCAUAGACAUUGCCAAUUUUGCUUCCAACAUGGCAAAAUUUUGUCCAAUGCAAAUGCGAGGUCCCCAGCCAAAUGGAAAGUAUGCAACCUGGCCCUUUGUUGCAUGUGAUACUCCUUCAGCAAACCUCUCAGGCUUGAAUUCUUUCACGUCCUCGCCCCAUAUAUCAGGGUCAUGAUGCAUCAGCAUUAUUGGCAACGUGAUUUGCACUCCAGCCGGGAGAGUUAAAUUUCCUAAUUUAGUUUCUUGAGUAGUUCCUCGACUCAUUAUAGGCACUGGUGGAUACAACCUUAAAACCUCAUGCAAGAUCAUGGUGACCUAUGAGAAGGGGACCAAAAAAAAAAUGUGAGCGUAAUUGGGAUGUCUAUGUAGAUGAGAAGCUUCGAUGAACUUCGUUAGUAUGUCUCUCCUGCCAUUAGUGCAAUUUUCAAAUCAAUGAAAUGAUCAUUGCUAAUUUUAUGUUUUUCAAAGAAAAAGAUUGGCUUACAAUUUUGAGGUGAUUUAACCCCUCAAAGUCCGGAUCCUUAGUUCCAAAUUGUUGCAGGACCUCCUCUCUAGCACGUGCCUGCCAUUCGGGGUACCUGCAGAGUAAGACCAUUGUCCAAACGAGUAGCCCUGAAGUAGUCUCCUGGCCAGCCAAAUAGAACAGCUUGCACUCAUCAACAAUUUCUUCGGUAGUCAUACCAAAGUCCUUGUUUCCAUGCUUCUCGAUUUCUUGAGAAUUGGAUUGAAGCAUUAAUCCCAACAAGUCAUCAGAGCCGGCUUCUCCUGCUCUCAUUGCCUUUCUUCUUGUGUUGAUCAUUUCCCUUACUGAACCAUUAACUUCUCUGGUAAUUUGUUUCAUUCUUCUGUUCCUCUUGGUUGGCAAGAACCUAACAAAGAUCAUAGUUUAGCCAAAAAAAAAAAAAGCAAGAACAAACUAUGUUUGCAGCAAUGUUUUUGGCUCCAUUUUUAAAUCACUUAGGCGCAUCUCAAAUGUUAAAAUGCCCAUCUAAGGCAGUCUUUCAUGAUUAUUGUCCAAUCAUGAUUUUCAAAGCAUUGAUUUCUAGGAGUCACAAUUUUCUACAGCGCUCAAGAAUUCAUGAUCAAUCUACCUAAAUCCUGGGAUGUUGAUGUACACCGACCGUGCUGCCUGCAUCAAAUGCUCAGUUUGCUCUCUCUGGAGCUCAAAGAUCCUUCUUCCUUCUUCAUAGUUGCUGCCAAAUGCUGUACGAGAAAUUGCAUCGCUGGUAAGAGCCUGAAGAUUGGGCCAAACAUCCACUUCAGCCAACCCCUUUGGUGAAAUAACAUUCUCCCAUUUCGUCACCAUCUCACUUGCACUUUUAUAGAAGGCUGGGAGCAUAAGCUGUUUAUCCAUAAAAUAAAAGAAAAUCAGUGAAAGAAACUACUCCACAUUGAAGGCUACUUAGUAAAUAAAUGAUGCAAUUUACCAAGGACUGUCCAAUGCAGAGAGUGUUUUCAAUUUUAGGAUAUAAUAAGUGUGUGUGUGUGAAUUUAUAUGAUAAUUUUACUAUAAUUUACUCGCACUAAUGAGUAUUUACAGGUCAUCCGUUCAAAAAAAAAAAGAUUAAUCUUUUCUACACUGUCAGUCAGUCAGUGUAUACACAGACGGAGUUGAAUGAAUACCACAUCAUAUGAAUUUGAAACCCCAUAAAAUGAUUAAAUUAGAGAGAAGAGAACCUUCAAUUUCUCAACGUGGAAAGCUGGGUUGAGGAGCUUUCUCUGUUUGGCCCAUUUUUCUCCCUCAUAGCUCACUAGUCCUAGAGCCAGUAAUCUGCCGAGUGGAUGAACACGGAGCUUCCGGAAAACAUCAACCUUUUGUGUAACUGCCUUUAUUAGAUUAGGGUCCAUGAUCACCACGGCAGGUCUCGGCCCAAACCAUAAAUAUGUAUUUUUACCUGGAAGUCAGAGCCGCUUGGAUUAGGAGCCCAAAACUGGAAAGUAUAAAUAGUUAAAUGCCUUCCACUAGGAAAGGAUAAUAAAAUCAAGUGUUUCAAAAAAUAAAAAUACAAGGCCAAAGUAUUAAAAUAAUUCAAGUUCUACAAAACUUUUUUUUUCUUUUUUUGCAUCAAUCAACCUAAUAAACUAUUUAAAGUGAUUCAAAAUCUUCGAUUAAGUUAACUGGAAAUCUAUUCAGAAUGUCAAGUACGAGCAAUUGUCAAGGAUAAAAUUGACAUUUCUUCUCAUCCACCUCCCUAAUCGACUAAAAUUCUUCAUUCUCAUCAAGUUAGCUCCCAAAACCUUGAGAAUUUGGUUUUAAACGAUUGGAAAAGAUGGAUGAGACAAAAUGUCAUUUUUGUUCCUGCCAAAUUGCACACAUCCAUUAGCUUGGCGGGAGAUGUUGACGGGAUGGACUGAUUGAAACUUUUGAGUACUAUAAUGGGUUAAUUGACUCAAAAAAAAAUGAAUGGUUUCUAUGAGAAUUUUUGUAGUUUGGGGGGUUAUAGUGCACUUUAUCGAAAAAAGAAUUGAAAAAAGAUUCACAAAGAUAGUAAAACAAACAAACCAAAAAUAGAAAUUAAAAGGAAACAAGAAAGGAAACUUGAAGUCUAAAGUUUAUUGGGAGCAUAGAUUUUUGUCGGAACUAAAAUAAUCCUCGUUUUGUUUAUUUGAUCAUUUGAUUGCUUAUUUAAUCUGAUCAUAAUUGAUUUCAAAUUCAAGAUUCAAUCUUCAUUGUCAAAUGACAUGCAUAAUUACUGAUAAUCAAUUAAUUAUUAGGAUGUCCAUAUUCUAGUAGGACGAAAUAAUAAAUAUCAGCUGUAUUGAGGCCCUUUAUGACAAUUCCAAGUUGUAAAACAAUAACAAACGGAAAAAAAAAUACAAAAAGACCAAGAAAAACGACCAUCCUAAAAUACAAAAGCUGAAAGGGAAAUCAUAUACCCUAAUACUAUAAUAUUACUCGUAUUUAAGCACGAAAUACAUCAGGAGGUAAAUGAUAUUCUAUCUAACCAAAAGCAGAAAAAAGGAAAAAAAAAAUGGAGAUCAUACGAGGGGCAAAAGAGGUUACGAGGCAAAGAGAUGGAAGCAGAGUUGACAAGAACAAUAAAUACUACCAUAUUUCUUAACGGCUCCAAGAUAUUGAGGAAUAACUCUUGGUACGAUGUCGUCGGAGAGAUUAAGAUUCUUGGAUUGGGCUUCUGUGUACAGGGUCGACAUCUCUUUGAAGUCUCCAUGGAGCAGCUUGUAAGGGUUUCCCCGGAAACCUUGCUCUUUCAGACGUUUCUCCAGCUUCUUCGGUCUAAACCAUACCCAGUUCAAAGCUUUCCAUGAUACUGCUACUACAAGAAGAAGAAGAAGAAGACAAGAAGAAUACACUGUAAACAUUGAUACAUAGGUGGCUUCCACGUGUUUUUUGUUUUGUUGGUUUUCUUGUGAGAUUUCUACCUUUGUUGUGUGCAUAUUUAUAUUCAAGUUGGGGCGAUGAUAACCUUGGUUUUGUGCGUCUGCACGGCUAUCCGUUUAUUACUUGAUUGACUCGGUACAAGUUUCUAUGUUACCAUGUGAUAAGAGAGUACAGGAGAAUUUGGAGCCUAUUUCUAUAUAUUUCGGAAUUUAGAGCGAAGUUUUUUUUUUUUUUUGGUGCAAUUGAGGACCUCCAAGCCAAUUUAAUUUAACUGGACCUUUAAGGCAAUUUAAUUAGAACAAUUUUGUCACAGAAUUAAAAGGAUAUUCGAACUUUGUAUAAACCCUAUCGGAAAAACAAACAUAGAGUGGAAAUUUUAAUUAAAGGAUAAAUUUUUAUGUGCUUUAAAAUGUUGAACAGUUAUUUUUUUUUUGGUAAGUAAAUUUCUGAACAAUUAUUUUUGUACAGAAUGACUAAUUUUGAUAACGUUUUAGCAAAACGUUAUAUGUGUUCAAAUCUCCUCUCUCCUUCCUCAUUUUUUAUAUCUCAUCCCUCCCUUUUUAAAAAAGUGAUACAUGUGUGAACAUAGAAGACGUGACAUUUAAAGCACAUAUAAACAACACUUUCAAAUGUGGAUAAUUCUUAAGUAUUUUUUUUAAAAAAAGAAUUCUCAAGUACACUAAACCUGGAAAAUUUUAUGAACAUGGCUGUAUUGAGUGUCGGAAUGAGGUGGAACUGAAUAAAAUUUAUGUGACAUUUAUGUGAGUUUUAGGUGGAAAUCAUGAGUUAUGAUUCGAUUAAACAAGACCAAACUUCAAUUAAGCAAUGCUAUUGAGGUGUAGUAUCAUGUAUUGAUUUAACCUUCAUAGCUUACUCGUAAUCAUUAUAUGAAAAAAAAAAAACUAAGAUGGGGCUACAAAAUUAGGAAAGAAUUUCGUGUUGAUUUGGAGUUAAAUAUCCAAAUCUCGUACUGUAGAACAAUUUCGAGCUUUUUGGUACGUGUAACAUAAACACAGUGUGUGACAGCUAAAGUGGACAGAGACAGCUUAGGAAAUUUGCACGGUUAGUAGAUGUCCCAGAAGACUAGAAGUCAAUUUCAACAAAUUGUUUAAGAUUGUACUAGCAACAACCAAGCUGUGUCAGCAGUUAUUGAAGGCAAGUCAUAAUGGGAGCAGGUAGAAGAAACUAUUGAAAGUGACAAGAGGUUGAAAGAGUAGAGCAUUAAUUAGCUGUGACACUGCGAUUAAUCAUUGGGGAUGGCUAGGGGAAGAUUUAUAGAGCCUCUCACUGUUAGAUUUAGGAAUUGAAUUGUGUGGCUGAAAAAUUCUCAUAUGCUAGAACGUGUUAGGGGGAAAAAAUUGCACUUAGAACAUGCAAGUAUUAUAUAUCUCAAAAUCAACACAAAAAGUGAAAAUCAUGAAUUCGCUAAAGAAAGAUAUGGAAUUUGCAAAAUCGAAUAUUUUAGACGAAAUCAAUCUUAAGUACAGGGUUAGCAUAAAUUUCAACAAUCCUCUGAUUUUAAUACCUAAAAAUUCAAUUAUUACAUGGGAAAAAUCUGGAACAUGGAAUGAGUCAAACUAUGUGUUUGGAUAGGAGAUUAUUUGACAUAUAAUUUUUGAAAAAAAUAUGCACAAUACUCUUUUUUGAUGUGAUGAAUAUAAGAUAAAAAAAAUGAUUGAAAAAUGUGUUGAUAAUGUAAACAAAUAAAUCUUACUAAAAAAAAGCAUUAUCCAAACAAAUAUACAAACUAGAUGACCUAUGCCAUGACGAUGGCAGAUAAUCUUUCUCGAGGAAAAAUAUGACCAAACUUUGUUUUCUUUCCAAGUAUGUUAAAUUUAUGGGAAAAUUUCGUAAACCUCCCCUGAGAUUUUAUGAAAUAUCACCUAGCUUCCUUGAGGUUUUCAAAAUUUCACUUAGCACCCCUCGAAUUGACAUUUUGGUAAAAUUGGAAGCCCUUCUAACCAAAGUAAUAUUAAAAAAUUCAUGUUUGAGAAGAGAGAUUAUUUUAGUGCCUUUAAUACCCUUAGACUAUAAAAAAUGGACAUUUUACAAACCAAGAAAAAAAAAAGUACUAAAUCAGAACCAUUUUAAAAGAAAGGAGAUGAAAAUUGGUAAGAUUUUAUGUUACAGUCAAUAGUCACUUCCACAAUAAGAAGAGAUGGUAAAAGCAAAUAUUAUUUUUUAAACCAUUUUUACAAAUAGAACCCCUUCAUAGCGUUGAAGGUAAUUAGCAUGUAAAAUCAUAUAUUUGAGCAAACAAAACUUAGUAAUAGAUGAAAUUCAACUUCAAUAUCAUACAAAGAAUUUACUCAAAAUAGACAGACUUUUUUUAUGGGUGCGAAAUAUGAAAAUUUUAUUAUAGAAAAAGUCAGAAUUUGAAAAAUUGUAGUCCGAAGUUUUAAUUACUUUAUUUCUCUUGCGCUCUACAUGAAUAGGAAUAAAUAAAUAAAGUUGUGAAACAUCAAAAAAAAGAAAAAAAUAAAAAGAACCUGCAACUAUUCUUCUCCAAAUGCGUUAAAUAUUUCAUUGAUUAAAUCCUAUAUUUUAUUGAUAUUUGCAAUUCAAUUAUACAUACACACACACACACAUAUAUAUAUAUGUAUGUAUGUAUGUUUGUUUGUUUGUUUGUUUGUAUAGACAUUGUUAAAGAAAAGUUGGAAAUUUAGGAAAAGAAAAACAAGUUUAUAAAAUUUAAAUAUGAGGGUAUUUUUGACAAUUCAUCACAUUUGAUAUUAGUAUAUGUCCCUACUAUCACUUCAAGGGUGCUACGUGAGAUUUUGAAAAGUUUAGGGGAGCUAGGUGAUAUUUCAUGAAACCUCAAGAGCGGUUUCUAAAAUUAUCCCUAAAUUUAUCCUUAAAUAUAUCUUAUUCCCUUUAUGUUUUGAGCGGUUUCUAAAAUUAUCCCUAAAUUUAUCCUUAAAUAUAUCUUAUUCCCUUUAUGUUUUGAGCACUUUAAUCCAAACUCCAAGCUGUCUUUUCAGCCAAUCGUGGGAGCUCCGCUGAAAUAUGAUAUUUGUUAGGUGAAAAAUAAAUUAAUAAAUUAAAACCAGAAGUCAUGAAGUCAACAUACAGAAUGGGAUAAAUUAUGGUAAAUUACUAUACGAGUCCGUUGUUCUAAAAUUUUAUCACACAAUCCCCCUAUUAUUCCACAAUAUCCAAUUGAUGCCCCGUGACUUUGUGUAAAAUUCAGAUUAGCCGAAAAGCAAGACCUAAUAAAUUACAAAGGAAUGUGCAUAGUUGUUUUAAAUUUGAAUACUCAUUAGUCGUCUCAAUGGUUUAUUAUUAUUAUUUUUUAAAAUAAAUCUGAAGACUAAAACUUCCAGGGAGACAAAAGGGAGUACUGGACUAUUGGCAAAUGGCAACAAAAUAGGGAACAAAUCAAAAUGAAUUGUUAUUCAAGAAUCAUAGAGAGUUUCAAAAACAAAAUUUUUUUUGAGAGCAAGCAAAUUAAUUAAGUUGUUACAUGGUAGUCCUUUUUAAGUAUAGAGCAAAACUAUGGCCCUUUGAGUGGAGCGGUUUUUACCAAUUUGGCUAAACGUUGCAAUUGCUAUGCUUAAUUUUGUUGUCGAUUUCGUGUGACUAUUUAAAAUUGGCAUGCCAUAAAGGCCGAAGAGUGGGAAUUGCUGUAUUAAAAUCCUAUAGGUUCGAUUAAACUUCGUAUUACCGUAUCAAAGUAGAGAAUAUGAGCAUAUCACUAACAACAAAAUGAGGUGAACGUAUUCAUUUCAUUUUUUUUCCUAACAAGGGAGGUAUGGGGGUUUAAGAAGUAGUGAGGGAAAAAGGGAAAUUAGAACGUAAAAGCUCUAUAUUUAGGGUCUCAACCUUCAAAUUUAGCCACUAAGCCAAUGUCUUCUCAGCGCAUAUUCAUUUCAUUUGAUGAUUCUAAGUGGCCUUGCGGUGGAUAGUUAAUCAGAGCCGGACUAUGACCUUAACCCUCAUUUGGAAAACAAUUUAGCUUUAAUUAUUUCAUGUAUUCAAAAUCGCAUUCAGGGCUGCAAUCAAAUUGACGUCACAAUUCGAUCUAGGUGACGGUGCAGCAAUUGCCAGUUGAAUCAUAGGCAUAUUUUAUAUUUACAAUAUCGAUUGUUAUGAAAAAAGAAGUCAGAAUCCAAUGAUGGAGCCAAGGGGGGCAGAGGGGGGCCAUGGCCCCCCCUAAGUUUUGAGAAUUUUAAUUCAUAAUAUGUAAAUAUGUGUGUAAAAUAAAAUUGGCCCCCCCUAAAUUUUUACAAUUUUAGUUUAUAUUAUGAAAGUUGAUAUAUAUAUAUAUAUUAGUCAUCUUUGAAUGGAAUGGCUUGCAAACUUUAAUUUGCCAUGAAUGUCCAUAUGCCUAUUACAUUCAUUGUUUGGCUCAUAGGCUUCAAUUUGCUUUAGUUGCAGCUUCUAGAGAAGUAGCUUCUGUUCACCAAUUCUUCUCCAAUUUAGUUUUCAUUAUCAACAUUGUUACUACAUCUAGCAAAUGUAAUGAUGAAUUAAAGGAGGCUCAAGCAAUUGAAGUUGCUACUAAGAUUGCUAAUGGUGAACUUGAAACUGGAAUGGGGCUUAAUCAAAUUGGCACUUUAAAACGAGCUGGAGAUACUCGUUGGGGUUCUCAUUUGGAUUUUAUUUCUAGUUUACUGAAAAUGUUCAAUGCUACUUGUGUGGUUUUAAGUAACAUUGCAGUAGAUGGAGGUUCAUACUCUCUAUGUGGAGAUGCAAAUUUUGUUUUGAAUCAGUUGUUAUCUUUUAAGUUUGUUUUCACUUUGCAUCUUAUGAAAGAUAUUGUGGAAAUUACUCAUCUUUUUUGUAUAGCAUUGCAACGUAAAUUUCAAGAUAUUUUGAAUGCAAUAUAUCUUGUCUCAAGCACAACAAAGCUACUGAAGAAUUUUCGAGAUUCAGGAUGGGAUGAUUUUUUGGUGAAAGUUAAAUUAUUUUUUGAGCAACAUCAAAUUGAUAUCCCAUGUAUGAAUGCUCAAUAUAUUGCAAGACGUGGUAGAUCUUGAAGUCAUCAUGAUGAGAUUAGUGUGGAGCAUUAUUAUCGAAUGGAUAUAUUUCUUGCAACAAUUGCGAGAGUUACAUAGCAAGUUUAAUGAUCAUACCGUGGAAUUGCUUGUUUUGAGUACUGCUUUAGAUCCUAGAAAUGGAUUUAUGCUGCUCAAGAUUGAUGAUAUUUGUAAACUUGCAGAGAAGUUCUAUCCGAAUGAUUUUAUGGAGCAAGAACUAGUACGUCUAAGAAUAGAACUUCAACAUUUUGAACUCGACAUUUCAAAUCAUCCUGAAUUGCAAGAAUUAUCUGGUAUUCAUGAGUUAUGCCAAGGCUUGGUGAAGACAAGAAAAUCAGUAAUAUAUCCUCUUAUUGAUAGAUUGAUUAGACUUGUUCUUACUCUUCUUGUAUCAACUGCAAUUACAGAGUGGACAUUUUCAAUUAUGAAAAUAAUCAAGACAAAACUCCAAAACAAGAUGGAAGAUAAUUUCUUGAAUGAUUGUCUAACUGUGUAUAUAGAAAAGGAAGUUGCUGAAAAAUUUAGCAGUGAUUCAAUCAUAGAUGAAUUUAGUUCUAUGAAAGAGUGUAGAGCUCAAUUUACUUUUAAGAAAAGAUGUUGAAAUUUCGAAGUAUGUUAACAUAACUUUUAUCUUUUUUCAAUUGAAAAUAGUUACAUUAUAUUAUAUAUAUAUAUAUAUAUAUAUAUAUAUAUAUAUAUAUAUAUAUAUAUAUAUAUAUUGCAUAGGUGACAUAUUGGAGAGUGUCUUCUCAUAAUGUGCAAAUUGGAUGGUUUGUGAUGCUAUAAGAUAUUUAAUCAAAGGUUAUCUUUUUUGUUAAUUUUUGUUAUGACUGUAUUGCAUAUUGAUGAAUAGACGUACCUUUAUAAUUAAAUUUAAUAUUUGAUAUUUUUAGAUGUGAUAUAUUUAAAUAGAAGAAAAUUAUUUUGAACAUAAUAUAUUAAGAUAAUUUUAUUAGGAAAAAAUUUUGGCCCCCCAAAAAAAAAUUCCUGGCUCCGUCACUGUCAGAAUCGGCUUUGAAAUUCAUUCUUGAUUGUUUCUAGCAGAAAAAAGAAGAAUGAGAAAAUAUUUUGGACCCACAGUAGAGCACAUUUAUGUCGAGUAACUACAUAGUAUUGCUAGCUAAGAAAAAUUAAAUGAAGAUUUAAAACGCCGACGUUAACUGUCUUGUCUCUUAUUCCUCCACUAUUCUUUUCUCUUAAAUUGAUAUUUCAACAAUCAUCAUAGCAUUUUAAACGAUAAUAACAAUAUAUAUAUAUAUAUAUAUAUAUAUAUAUAUGUAUAGCUAAUCAUAUUUUUUACACAUUUCCUCAGAGUUGCAUUAUGCAAAGGGUCAAACCACAAUAUUCUAAAAGUUUUGGUCUUAAAAGUCAUUCUCCUUUUAUUUGACUAAUUCUUCCUGCCGGCCUGCUUCUCUUCAGCCUAAAAUUGCUCCCCACUUGUUCGUAUUCUUCUUAUGUUCUAUUCCGCGACCUUUUCCAUUUCCUACAUUGUUAAACCGUGGAACGAAUUGCCAGCCUGCAAUGUUCAAGGCAAGCCCAUUUUAGAUCUAAGAGAAAAUAUCAAUCUUCAAAAAACUUCAUAGCAAAUUAAACAAAGAUUGAUAACAAGAUUUCUUGUUUUACAGUUUCUUCAAGAUCAAAUGAGCUCCAUACUGGGGUUGAAGAGUGAGCACAACUUGAGGAGCCUGUGCAUAACUCGGCGAAAGCUCCCAAGAAAAGCGCCGUAAGAUCAAAGCCAGCGCCAUCUUUGCUUCCAGCAUAGCAAAAUUUUGCCCCAUGCAAGUUCGAGGUCCCCAACCAAAUGGAAAGAACGAGAGAUUGCCUUUUGUAGCCUUUGAAACUCCUUCACUGAAUCUUUCUGGAUUAAAUUCCUUCGCAUAUCACCCCACACAGCGACGGAGCCAGGAUUUUUUUCAUGGGGGGCCAAAAUUUAUCAAAUAUAUGGCAUCUUAAAAUAUCAAAUAUUAACUUUAAUUAUAAAGAUAUGUCUAUUUCAUAAAUAUGUAGCAUAGUCAUAACUAAAAUUAAGACAAGAAAUAACCUUUGAUUAAAUAUCUUAUAAUAUCACAAAUCACCUAAGUUGCACAUUAUGAGAAGAUGCUCCAAUAUGUCACUUGUGCAAAAACAAAAAUAUAACUAUGCAAUAUAAAUAUAACUAUUUUCAAUUAAAAAGAGAUAAAAAUUAUGUUAACAUAUCUUGAAAUUUCAUCCUCUUUUAUUAAACGUAAAUUGAGCUUUACGUUCUUUCAUAGAACUAAAUUCAUCUAUAAUUGAAUUAAUGCUAAAUUUUCGAACAACUUCCUUUUUUUAUGUACAUUGUUAGACAAUCAUUCAAAAAAUUAUCUUUUAUCUUGUUUUGGAGUUUUGUUUUGAUUAUCUUCAUAAUUGAAAAUGUCCAUUUUAUAGACUAUAGAACGAAGCAAGGAUUUUUUCCUUGGGAGGGGGGCCAAAAUUUUUUUUAACAAAAUUAUCUUAAUAUGUUAUAUUCAAAAUAAUUUUCAUCGAUUUAAAUAUAUGACAUCUUAAAAUAUCAAAUAUUAAAUUUAAUUAUAAAGGUAUGUUUAUUUCAUAAAUAUGCAGCAUAGUCAUAACAAAAAUUAGGACAAGAAAUAACAUUUGAUUAAAUAUCUUAUAACAUUACAAACUAUCCAAAUUGUACAUUAUGAGAAGAUGAUCCAAUACGUCACUUGUGCAAAAAUAAAAAUAUAACUAUGCAAUAUAAAUAUAAAUAUUUUCAAUUAAAAAAAGAUAAAAGUUAUUUUAGCAUACCUUGAAAUUUUAACCUAUUUUCUUAAAAGUAAAUUGAGCUUUACAUUAUUUCAUAUAACUAAAUUCAUCUAUAAUUGAAUCAGUGCUAAAUUUUUGAACAACUUCCCUUUUUUUAUGUAUAUUGUUAGACAAUUAUUCAAGAAAUUAUCUUUUAUCUUGUUUGCAGUUUUGUUUUGAUUAUAUUUAUAAUUGAAAAUGUCUGUUCUAUAGUAGUAGUUGAUACAUGAAGAGUGAAAACAAAUAUAAUCAAUCUGUUAACAACAUGAUAGAUCACUCAAUUUCUUGUUUUUACCAAGCCUUCAAGUAAUUAUUUGUAUAUUUGUAUAUGGGUCCACAAGAGGAUAGAUCACUAAUUUUAAAUUUUUUUUAUCAAUUAGGCUAAGUUGUAUAUUUGUAUAUGGACCAAUAAAGUAAUUAUUUUUAUUUUAGCCCAUUCAUAAUUAUGAAUUGAGUCUUUUAUUAUAAUAUAUCAAACUGGGUCAAUUUACUAUGGAUCAUCAAAUUAUAUGUUUAAUUUUUUGAAUGUUAAAUAAUUAGCACAAUAAAAAAUAAAUAACUUUUUUUGAAGAAAAAAUUAAAUCAAAAGUGGCUAAUUCACACACACACACACACACAUAUAUAAACUCUCAGUAUAUAAACUAAAAUUGUAAAAAAUUAGGGGGUCAACUUUGUUUUAUACAUAUAUUUACAUACUAUGAAUUAAAAAUUCAAAACUUAUGGGGGAUCAUGGCCCCCUCAGCCCCCUUGGCUCCAUCAUUGACCCCACAAGUCUUUGUCCUGCUGCAGCAAGACUGGGGCCACAAAGAUGAACAUUCCUUCUGGAAGUGACAGUUCGCCUAAUUUAGUUUCUUCGGGAAUCAUUCGAAAAAGAUUUGCUGCCGGUGGAUAUAGCCUUAGAACCUCGUUAAGGAUCAUGGUAACCUUUAGAAAAAUAAACGUAAACAGAAGAAUGAUUAGUGGAGAUUGGAUCAACUAUCAAAAAAGUGCUAAGAUGGGAGCAUAAUUUUGCAAGUUAUACUUACAAUUUUGAGGUGAUUUAAUUUACUAAUAUCAGGUUCAUUGUUGUCAAAAACCUGUAGAACCUCAUCUCUGGCACGAGCCUGCCAAUCAAAAUGUUGACUCAAUAAAAUUAAUGUCCAGGCGAGCAAUCCUGAGGUUGUCUCUUGUCCAGCCAAAUAGAAUAGCUUGCACUCCUCAAUGACUUCUUCAAGGCUCAUGCAGUUCUUAUUUCCAUGUUGUCGGAUCUCAUUAAAAUUGGAUUCCAAUAAAAUACGCAACAAGUCAUCACUUGUAGCUUCACCUGUUUGAAUUUCCUUCAGCCUUUCGUUGAUAUUGCCCAUAACUAAUGAGUUUACUUCCUUGAAAAUCUUCUGCAUUCUUUUGUUUCUUUCUGUUGGCACAAAACUGAAUGCAAAAUAGCAAUAACCAAAUAAGCUAAAUGAUACAAUUACAAACUAGAAAUUGAAAGACAGUACCGUACCUCCACCCUGGAAGGCAAAUGGAUUGCAUAACUUGCUCAAUAUACAAAGCCUGUUCUCUUUGGAGUUCAAAGAUCCUUCGCCCUUUUUCAUGGUUGCUACCAAAAGCUGUUCUUGAAAUUACAUCACCAGUAAAUGUUUGAAGCUAAGGCCACACAUCUAAUUCAAAAGAUCCUUCUGCGGAGGCAAGGUUCUCCCAUUUGCUUAACAUCUCAUUACAACUCAGAUAAAAUGCUGGCACCAUGUACUACAUGUGAAGAAGAAUCAACAGCGUAAGUCUUCCAGCUUUUAUGUUCUUCAUUAAUCAAAAAGUAAGAAUGGAAAUAUUAUUCAGUGAAAUUUUAAAAUUGGAAAGGCUGCAUUUGGUUCUUUAUCUGGACUAGAUUGGAACCAUAACUACAUUUAUAUGAUGCAAUACCAAACACUAGCCAGUCCCAUGUCUGAUAAAUAACAAGAAACGUUCAAAAGCGUGUAAGAUAUUGAAACAGCACCAAAUUUCAGCAGAAAAAGCUAGAAACAACCUUCAAUUUCUCUACAUGAAAUGCAGGAUUCAAUAAUCUUCUGUGUUUGGCCCAUUUUUCUGUAUCCAGGCUAGCAAGUCCUAGUGCUAGAAGUUUACUGAUUGGAUUUGCCCGAGGCUUCUGACAAGUACAAAUUUUUUUGUGAAGACCUAAUUUACUUGUUCAGGAUCCAAGAUAACCAUUGCCGGCCUUGGUCCAAGCCAAAAAAAGCUAUUUUUACCUACAAAAUAAUUUUUGAUAAGCAACUUAUCCACUCUUUUAAAAAAAAGAUUGGGUCAACCCAUAUAUGAAAUGCAUGAUUGCCGAAAAAACACAGCAAACCAAAUAGUCUUCGGGCAAAUUUGGAGAACAAACCUUUAUGUUGCAUUGUUUCAUUGAUGAAGGGCAUGAUUCUAGGCAGGAUAUCAUCUGUUAAAGAAAUUGGUUUGGACUUAGCCUCCUCAAGCAUCCUUCCCAUGUCUCUGGUGUCUCCAAACAAGAACCCGUAAGAGUUUCCCUGUAGACCUUGCCGCCUGAGGCGUUUCUCCAUCUUCUUUGGUGUGAUCCAAGCCCAAUUCAAGAAUCUCCAUGCCCCGAUGAGAAGAACUAUAACUGAUGAAGCUCCAAUCGAGCUAUAGAAAAAGUCCAUUUUCUCUGAUGCGCUUCCACUCCUUCAGUCAAACUUUCUGCUGGCAGGGGGAACUUGCUAAGCGGUUAGUUAUUAAGGAGGGAGAACCUCAACUUUGGGACACAUCAUUCUGAAAUCUAUGCAUAUCCAUCUGUAAAAUCGGUAAAGACAAAGUAGCUUGAAGGUAUGUUCUAUGUUUACGGCAUCUGCAUAAAUGGAGAUGCUCUGCGACUUCAACACUCACCUAUAAAGGACAUUUGAGCCUUUAUUAUUCUUGUUUAUGGUAAAAUGAUUUUUCUACUCGUUCACUUAAAUUACGCUUAAUUUACUAUAUGAACACACAUAAUACAAUUAUUAUAUCCUCUGUAUUUAAACGCUUUCCUGGUAACUACACUUUUUGUAAAAAUAUUAGCACUCUUGAGGCCCUCCUGACAAAUCAACAAAGCUAGAUUAUCCUGCAAACCUGGCAAAUCACCAUCAAAAGUCUUUUUCUAUCUGCCUUCUAGAAAGGAGUCAGUUCAAUAAAUAGAACUUGAGAAUUUGACUUUUGAUUUACCGUAAAGAAGAAGAAGAAAACUUCAACCGGCCAACUCGUCUGAACAGUCAUCCAUGGCUAUUGUUAGAAUAGCUAAUCUUUGAGCAGUCAUCCAUGGCUAUUAUUAAUGUGCUAAUGAGUAAUAACAAUUUGCACCCCUCAUCUGAACCAUAAACAAUUAAUUGUAGCACUGUUGAACAAAAAAGUAAUUGUAGCACUAAAGUGCAUUGUGUUUUUGCUGGAAUCUAUUUAAAGAAAAAACAUUUUGUGGCUACAGUCAAAUGAAAAGAUUUUAGUACCCUAAUGUAAUAGAUGCAGAUUAGGAGUAUCAAAGUCCUUUUCAUUUAAAAAUAGCAAGGGAAAUUCAAGGGUUUGCAAAUUAGCUAAACAAAGUGCUGCAAAUUGAUAGCACGAGGUACAGAAGUCCUAAAACUGAUAAUUGAAGAUAGUUUAGGGGAAAAUGCUGCAAUAAGCUUUGGAUGUAAUUUUAAAUACUUGAGCAUGAGAAGGUCGCAUGUAGAACUAUAUCUAAGGAUCAAGAAUUUUGAUGCGAAAAAUGGCGAAUUUUUUUGUUACAGUCUUGACUCUCAAUGGUUUGGAAACAAAAGAUCAAUGUGAAAUUUGUUUUUGAUCAACUGCGUCCUAUAAUGCAGUCCUUUUUAACCUAUUAACAUUAAUACUUUGCAAAAUAGCAGUAACUCCAAAAUCUUAUUGUAAUUGCACCAAAAGUUUAUUAAACCUUACAGAAGCAGCAACCUAAAAGGCUAGCAAGAUAAGCAACAUGUAGCAAUUACAGAAGUCCUGGAAUCGCUGGCGUUCAUGAAGGAGAUGAUUCAGAUAACAGAUUUAUUUUACAGUUUCUUCAUAAUCAACUGAGUACCAUACUGAGGAUGAAGCAGGGUAAGAAACAAGUAUAGGGCAUGCGUAUACAAUGGAGAAAGCUCAAAGGAAAAGCGCUGUAAAAUUAAAGCUAAUGCCAUUUUUGCUUCAAGCAGAGCAAAGUUUUGCCCAAUGCACAUCCGAGGUCCCCCACCAAAUGGCACAAAACACGGCUGGCCCUUAGUAGCCUUUGCAACUCCCUCGCUAAAUCUCUCCGGGUUGAAUUCCUUUGCAUCAUCACCCCAUAAACUUGGAUCAUGAAGUAGCAAGAUUGAAGGCAUCAAGACAAUCAUUCCAGCAGGUGGAGAUUAGUUCCCCUAAUUUAGUGUCUUCGUUAACCCUCCGGGAAAUCAUAACUCCUGGCGUAUAUAGUCUUGGAACCUCAUUAAGGAUCAUAGUCACCUGUAAAAGAAGAAUUACAAACCGAUGCUUAAAUGGAGUGUGAACUUCGUUCCAAGAGAAGAAAAUUGUAAGAUAACUAUCCAGACAAUGUCAACUAAUAGCUGUUGCCUACUAGAAAGCAGAAACAUUACACUACACUCGGAUAUCGUUGUGCUUCAGGUAAUGGCAAAAGUAAAACAUGUCCUGAGUGAAUGGAAUGUUAAGCUAUGAUAUUCCUUAUGAAGUCUUCUGCAUCCGAACCCACGAAACUAAUUAUUCAUCAAAAGAGAACCUAAAAAACAAGUCUGAAAUGUGGCCAACAUUCAUGAAAUUCGAGUUUAGUCACUGCAGAUUGGUGAAACAAAACUGAAAUUCUUGAAUAAUAUCAAACUAUUCUGUCAUCAGAGCUUGUCCUCUUGAUAAAUUGAAGCUACUUACAAUUUUCAGCCAAUUUAAAUCUUCAAAAUCCGGUAUAUUGUUGCCAAAGACCUGAAGAAUCCCAUCCCUAGCACGAGCUUGCCAGUCUGAAUGCUUGCUCAACAAAAUUAGCGUCCACACAAGCAAGAUUGCAGUUGUCUCAUGUCCAGCAAAAAAGAACAGCUUGCACUCCUGAAUGACCUCUUCAGAAGUCAUCCCAAACCUUUCAUUCCCAUGUUCUUGGAUCUCCUUGAAGUUGGGUUCUAGAAGUAAACCCAACAUGUCACUAUGAAAAUUUUCUUCAUAUUUUUUGUUUCUUUUACGGAAUAUCUAGUAAUGUGAUAGGACGAUUUUCUGCAGCAAAUCAGCCUUGGAUUGAUCUCUUUAUAGAUUAAGAGAUGUCACAUGUUGGUUAUAAUCAUCCAAGUGAUGACCUUUCAUUACUAAAGUUGUUACUUCUAUUCUAAUAGUACUUGAAUGAUUAAUUGUUGUACUUCACACUUGAAUGAACAGCCACAAAUUUUGUUAUUUUGUGAACCUUGAAACCUUUCAUCUUUUGAAAAUCUCCGACAAAUUCAUGGUGAUUAAAAAUUUUGCAAAUAAAGUCAACUCAACUGAGAUAAUUUGAUUCUCUGUAGUUUAAUUUCUUCAACAAAUGUUUGACCAGGAAGAAAAAAUGGUGAGUAUAGCCUUAAAACCUCAUGCAAGAUCAUUGUGAUAUGUGAGAAAUGGAAGGAGACUACUUAAGACAAUUUAUUGGCAUAUGAGAAGCUGCAACCUAUCAUGAGUUGACUUAUAUCUUUUAGGUUAAAAGUUCUUUUACGUACAAUAUGCCAUAGAUUUUGGUAUAUAAUUGACUUAAAAUCUUUUAGGUUAUACAGACCAUCAAAUUGUGAUAUUUUUGGUCCCAGCAAUGUGUUGCAAAAUCUAUUCUCUAGCACGUUCUUGCUAGUCUGGGCAGAUGCUGAAUACAACAGCUUACACUCUUCAAUAAUUUCUCUUGUAAUCGCACAGAAUUUCGUCUUGUCUAAGCUGCAUUGGAGAUCCACUUACCACGAAGAAAUAUUUUUGAAUACUAGCUAAUAAGAUUUACAGACUACUGAUUAAUGUUUGAGAACAGCUGUUAAAUGAUUUUAAGCCAUGACAAGCCAUUUGUUUUCUCCAUUAUCAAAGAAAAAGGAAAGAUCUCUUGCAAAAUUAAACAAGCAGAUGUAAUAUUUCUCUCUUAAUUUGCCGUGAGAAAUACAUUACGUGAAUCUGUACUGCUAUAUUCAUACAGAUCCAUUGACAUACCGAACUGGGCGGGACUUAAACUAGUUUACAAGCAAAGUUAAGCAUAGAAGAUGGUGCUUUAUUUCGUUAAAAGAUAAUCUGCUGCCACAUACCGGGCUAGCAAGUCAAGUCAUAUAUAUGAAACAACAAAAACUAUAUUAUCUUCUGCAAAAUCAAGUGAGCUCCAUACUGGGGUUGAAUUAGUGCUGUAGCCGUUCCAGGAGCAUGAGUAUAAGAUGGUGAGAGUUCAAAGGAGAAGCGUUGCAGAAUCAUAGACAUUGCCAAUUUUGCUUCCAACAUGGCAAAAUUUUGUCCAAUGCAAAUGCGAGGUCCCCAGCCAAAUGGAAAGUAUGCAACCUGGCCCUUUGUUGCAUGUGAUACUCCUUCAGCAAACCUCUCAGGCUUGAAUUCUUUCACGUCCUCGCCCCAUAUAUCAGGGUCAUGAUGCAUCAGCAUUAUUGGCAACGUGAUUUGCACUCCAGCCGGGAGAGUUAAAUUUCCUAAUUUAGUUUCUUGAGUAGUUCCUCGACUCAUUAUAGGCACUGGUGGAUACAACCUUAAAACCUCAUGCAAGAUCAUGGUGACCUAUGAGAAGGGGACCAAAAAAAAAAUGUGAGCGUAAUUGGGAUGUCUAUGUAGAUGAGAAGCUUCGAUGAACUUCGUUAGUAUGUCUCUCCUGCCAUUAGUGCAAUUUUCAAAUCAAUGAAAUGAUCAUUGCUAAUUUUAUGUUUUUCAAAGAAAAAGAUUGGCUUACAAUUUUGAGGUGAUUUAACCCCUCAAAGUCCGGAUCCUUAGUUCCAAAUUGUUGCAGGACCUCCUCUCUAGCACGUGCCUGCCAUUCGGGGUACCUGCAGAGUAAGACCAUUGUCCAAACGAGUAGCCCUGAAGUAGUCUCCUGGCCAGCCAAAUAGAACAGCUUGCACUCAUCAACAAUUUCUUCGGUAGUCAUACCAAAGUCCUUGUUUCCAUGCUUCUCGAUUUCUUGAGAAUUGGAUUGAAGCAUUAAUCCCAACAAGUCAUCAGAGCCGGCUUCUCCUGCUCUCAUUGCCUUUCUUCUUGUGUUGAUCAUUUCCCUUACUGAACCAUUAACUUCUCUGGUAAUUUGUUUCAUUCUUCUGUUCCUCUUGGUUGGCAAGAACCUAACAAAGAUCAUAGUUUAGCCAAAAAAAAAAAAAGCAAGAACAAACUAUGUUUGCAGCAAUGUUUUUGGCUCCAUUUUUAAAUCACUUAGGCGCAUCUCAAAUGUUAAAAUGCCCAUCUAAGGCAGUCUUUCAUGAUUAUUGUCCAAUCAUGAUUUUCAAAGCAUUGAUUUCUAGGAGUCACAAUUUUCUACAGCGCUCAAGAAUUCAUGAUCAAUCUACCUAAAUCCUGGGAUGUUGAUGUACACCGACCGUGCUGCCUGCAUCAAAUGCUCAGUUUGCUCUCUCUGGAGCUCAAAGAUCCUUCUUCCUUCUUCAUAGUUGCUGCCAAAUGCUGUACGAGAAAUUGCAUCGCUGGUAAGAGCCUGAAGAUUGGGCCAAACAUCCACUUCAGCCAACCCCUUUGGUGAAAUAACAUUCUCCCAUUUCGUCACCAUCUCACUUGCACUUUUAUAGAAGGCUGGGAGCAUAAGCUGUUUAUCCAUAAAAUAAAAGAAAAUCAGUGAAAGAAACUACUCCACAUUGAAGGCUACUUAGUAAAUAAAUGAUGCAAUUUACCAAGGACUGUCCAAUGCAGAGAGUGUUUUCAAUUUUAGGAUAUAAUAAGUGUGUGUGUGUGAAUUUAUAUGAUAAUUUUACUAUAAUUUACUCGCACUAAUGAGUAUUUACAGGUCAUCCGUUCAAAAAAAAAAAGAUUAAUCUUUUCUACACUGUCAGUCAGUCAGUGUAUACACAGACGGAGUUGAAUGAAUACCACAUCAUAUGAAUUUGAAACCCCAUAAAAUGAUUAAAUUAGAGAGAAGAGAACCUUCAAUUUCUCAACGUGGAAAGCUGGGUUGAGGAGCUUUCUCUGUUUGGCCCAUUUUUCUCCCUCAUAGCUCACUAGUCCUAGAGCCAGUAAUCUGCCGAGUGGAUGAACACGGAGCUUCCGGAAAACAUCAACCUUUUGUGUAACUGCCUUUAUUAGAUUAGGGUCCAUGAUCACCACGGCAGGUCUCGGCCCAAACCAUAAAUAUGUAUUUUUACCUGGAAGUCAGAGCCGCUUGGAUUAGGAGCCCAAAACUGGAAAGUAUAAAUAGUUAAAUGCCUUCCACUAGGAAAGGAUAAUAAAAUCAAGUGUUUCAAAAAAUAAAAAUACAAGGCCAAAGUAUUAAAAUAAUUCAAGUUCUACAAAACUUUUUUUUUCUUUUUUUGCAUCAAUCAACCUAAUAAACUAUUUAAAGUGAUUCAAAAUCUUCGAUUAAGUUAACUGGAAAUCUAUUCAGAAUGUCAAGUACGAGCAAUUGUCAAGGAUAAAAUUGACAUUUCUUCUCAUCCACCUCCCUAAUCGACUAAAAUUCUUCAUUCUCAUCAAGUUAGCUCCCAAAACCUUGAGAAUUUGGUUUUAAACGAUUGGAAAAGAUGGAUGAGACAAAAUGUCAUUUUUGUUCCUGCCAAAUUGCACACAUCCAUUAGCUUGGCGGGAGAUGUUGACGGGAUGGACUGAUUGAAACUUUUGAGUACUAUGAUCAAAAAAAAAAAUGGUUUCUAUGAGAAUUGUUGUAGUUUGGGGGGUUAUAGUGCACUUUAUCGAAAAAAGAAUUGAAAAAAGAUUCACAAAGAUAGUAAAACAAACAAACCAAAAAUAGAAAUUAAAAGAAAACAAGAAAGGAAACUUGAAGUCUAAAGUUUAUUGGGAGCAUAGAUUUUUGUCGGAACUAAAAUAAUCCUCGUUUUGUUUAUUUGAUCAUUUGAUUGCUUAUUUAAUCUGAUCAUAAUUGAUUUCAAAUUCAAGAUUCAAUCUUCAUUGUCAAAUGACAUGCAGAAUUACUGAUAAUCAAUUAAUUAUUAGGAUGUCCAUAUUCUAGUAGGACGAAAUAAUAAAUAUCAGCUGUAUUGAGGCCCUUUAUGACAAUUCCAAGUUGCAAAACAAUAACAAACGGAAAAAAAAAUACAAAAAGACCAAGAAAAACGACCAUCCUAAAAUACAAAAGCUGAAAGGGAAAUCAUAUACCCUAAUACUAUAAUAUUACUCGUAUUUAAGCACGAAAUACAUCAGGAGGUAAAUGAUAUUCUAUCUAACCAAAAGCAGAAAAAAGGAAAAAAAAAAUGGAGAUCAUACGAGGGGCAAAAGAGGUUACGAGGCAAAGAGAUGGAAGCAGAGUUGACAAGAACAAUAAAUACUACCAUAUUUCUUAACGGCUCCAAGAUAUUGAGGAAUAACUCUUGGUACGAUGUCGUCGGAGAGAUUAAGAUUCUUGGACUGGGCUUCUGUGUACAGGGUCGACAUCUCUUUGAAGUCUCCAUGGAGCAGCUUGUAAGGGUUUCCCCGGAAACCUUGCUCUUUCAGAUGUUUCUCCAGCUUCUUCGGUCUAAACCAUACCCAGUUCAAAGCUUUCCAUGAGACUACUACUACUAACAGAAGAAGAAGAAGAAGACAAGAAGAAUACACAGUAAAGGUUGAGACAUAGGUGGCUUCCAUGUUGUGUUUUUGUUUUGUUGGUUUUCUUGUGAGAUUUCUACCUUUGUCGAGUGCAAAUUUACAUUCAGGUUGGGGCGAUGAUAACCUUUGGUCUUGUGCGUCCGCACGGCUAUCCGUUUAUUACUUGGAGAAGGGAGAAAAGGAGGAACUUUCAGCUCAGCAUAGCAUGAUUGACUUGGUACAAGUUUCUAUGUUACCAUGUGAUAAGAGAGUACACGAGAAUUUGGAGCCUAUAUCUAUAUAUAUAUUUCUCGGAUUUUAGAGCAAAGUUUUUUUUUUUUUUUUUUUUUUUGGGUGCAAUUGAGAGGACCUCCAAGCCAAUUUAAUUUAACUGGACCUUUAAGGCAAUUUAAUUAGAAGAACAAUUUUGUCACAGAAUUAGAAGGAUAUUCGAACUUUGCAUAAACCCUAUCGGAAAAACAAACAUAGAGUGGAAAUUUUAAUUAAAGGCUAAAUUUUUAUGUGCUUUAAAAUGUUGAACAGUUAUUUUUCUUUGGUAAGUAAAUUUCUGAACAAUUAUUUUUGUACAGAAACACUAAAAAUUUUGCUAAACUUAAAACGUUACAUGUGUUCAAAUCUCUCCUUUUCCUUUCUCAUUUUUUAAAUACCACCCCUUCCUUAUAUGUGUGAAUGUAGAGGACGUGACAUUUAAAGCACACAUAGAAAACACUUUCAAUUGUAGAUAAUUCUUAAGUACACUAAACUUCGAAAAUGUUAUGAACAUGGCUGUAUUGAGUGUAGAAUUUUAUGUGGUGGAACUGAAUAAAAUUUCUGUGGCAUUUCUGUGAGUUUUAGGUGGAAAUCAUAAAUAUGGUAGUGUGACAGCUAAAGUAGACAGACUGAGACAGCUUAGGAAACUGGCUAGCAAGGUCAGAUGUUCUAGAAGAACAGAAUAGACUAGACAAUGAAACGCGCACUCAAUUUCAACAAAUUGAUUAAUAUUGUACUGGCAACAACCAAGCUGUGUCAGCAGUUAUUGAAGGCAUCUGGAAGAAACUAUUGAAAGUGGAAAAUUCAUUUGCAAAAAAUUCAUUUUAUAGGAGGUUGAAAGAGCAGAACAUUAUUAUAAUUGUUCAAAAAUCAUGAUGCAUUAAUUAGCUGUGACACUGCGAUUAAUUAGCUUAAGAAAGAUAUGGAAUUUGCAAAAUCAAAUAUUUUAGACGAAAUCAAUUUUAUGUACAGGGUUAGCAUAAAUUUCAACAAUCCUCUGAUUUUAAUGCCUAAAUAUUCAAUUAUUACAUGGGAAAAAUCUGGAACAUGGAAUGAGUCAAACUAAGUGUUCGGAUAGGAGAUUAUUUGGGAUAAUUUUUUAAAAAAAUAUUAUAUCAUAAUUUUUUUUGAUGUGAUGUAUAUGAGAUAAAAAAAAUAAUUAAAAAAUACGUUAAUAAUGAAAAUAAAUAAAUCUCAAUGAACAAAGCACUAUCCAAACAAAAAUACAAACUAGAUGACCUAUGCCAUGACGAUGGCAGAUAAUCCUUCUCGAGGAAAAAUAUGCCCAAGCUUUGUUUUCUUUCCAAGUAUGUUAAAUUUAUCCUUAAAUAUAUCUAUGCCCUUUAUGUUUUGAGCUGUCCAAACUGUCUUUUCCUCUUGCCGUGGGAGCUGAGCUGAAAUAUGAUAAUCGGCUCUGUUUGGAUUGUAAAUUAUUUGAGAUAUUUUUACUGUAGCAUUUUUUAUGAUAUGAUGUAUGUGAGAUAAAAAGGUAAUUAGAAAGAUAAAAAGAUGUGUUGAAAAUUGUUAUGAUGAUGUAAGCAAAUAAAUUUUGGUAAAUAAUCCUCAAUCCAAACAAACCUAUGAGGUGAAAAAUAAACUAAUAAAUUAAAACCUGAAGUCAUGAAGUCAACAUACAGAAUGGGGUAAAUUAUGGUAAAUUACUAUACCAGCCCGUUCUUCUAAAAUUUUUAUCACACAAUCUCCCUAUUAUUCCACAAUAUCCAAUUGAUGCCCCGUGACUUUGUGUAAAAGCAAGACCUAAUAAAUUACAAAGGAAUGUGCAUAGUUGUUUUAAAUUUGAAUACCUCAUUAGUGGUCUCAAUGGUUUAUUAUUAUUAUUUUUCAAAAUAAAUCUGAAGACUAAUAAUUUCGGGGAGAGUUAGAUGUCUUUAAAUGGAAAGUACAUGUAGAAGGACAAAAAGGAGUACUGGCAAAUGGCAACAAAAUAGGGAACAAAUCAAAAUGAAUUUUAUUCAAGAAUCAUAGAGAGUUCCUAAAACAAAAUUUUUUUUUUUUUGAGAGCAAGCAGAUUAAUUAAGUUGUUAUAUGGUAGUCCUUUUUAAGUAUAGAGCAAAACUAUAGCCCUUUGAGUAGAGUGGUUUUUACCAAUUUGGCUAAACUUUGCAAUUGUUGUGCUUAAUUUUGUUGUCGAUUUCGUGUGACUAUUUACAAUUGGCAUGCCAAAAAGGCCGAAGAGUGGGAAUUGCUGUAUUAAAAUUAUAUAGUUCCAAUUAAAUUUCGUAUUACCGUCUUAAAGUAGAGAAAAUGAGCAUAUCACUAAUAGCAAAAUGAGGUUAACAUAUUCAUUUCAUUUUUUUUUCCUAGUAGGGGAGGUGUGAGGGUUUAAGAAGUAGCAAGGGAAAAAGGGAGAUUAGAACCUAAAAACUCUAUAUUCAGGGUCUCAACCUUCAAAUUUAGCCACUAAGCCAAUGUCUUCUCGGCGCAUAUUCAUUUCAUUUGAUGAUUCUAAGUGACCUUGCAGUGGAUAGUUAAUCAGAGCCGGACUAUGAUAUCGAUUGCCGCCUGAAAUUGCAGUUGAAUCAUAGGCAAAUUUAUGAUAUCGAUUGUUAUGAAAAAGAAGUCAGAAUCGGCAUUGAAAUUCAUUCUUGGUUGUUUCUAGCAGAAAAAAGAAGAAUGAGAAAAUAUUUUGGACCCACAUUAUAGCACAUUUAUGUCGAGUAACUACAUAGUAGUGCUAGCCAAAAAAAAAUCAAAUGAAGAUUUAAAACACUGCGUUAACUGUUUUGUCUUUUAUUCUCCCGUUAUUCUGUUCUCUUAAAUUGAUAUUUCAACAAUCAUUAUAACAUUUUAAACGAUAAUAACAAUAUAUUCAUAUAUAUAUAUAUAUAUAUAUAUAUAUAUAAAUAGGUAAUCAUAUUUUUUACACAUUUCCUCAGAGUUGCAUUAUGCAAAAGGUCAAACCACAAUAUUCUAAAAGUUUUGGUCUUAAAAGUCAUUCUCCUUUUAUUUGACUAAUUCUUCCUGCCGGCCUACUUCUCUUCGGCCUAAAAUUGCUCCCCACUUGUUCGUAUUCUUCUUAUGUUCUAUUCCGCGACCUUUUCCAUUUCCUACAUUGUUAAGCCGUGGAACGAAUUGCGAGCCUGCAAUGUUCAAAAUAUCAAUCUUCAAAUAACUUCAUAGCAAAUUAAACAAAGAUUGAUAACAAGAUUUCUUGUUUUACAGUUUCUUCAAGAUCAAAUGAGCUCCAUACUGGGGUUGAAGAGUGAGCACAACUUGAGGAGCAUGUGCAUAACUCGGCGAAAGCUCCCAAGAAAAGCGCCGUAAGAUCAAAGCCAGCGCCAUCUUUGCUUCCAGCAUAGCAAAAUUUUGCCCAAUGCAAGUUCGAGGUCCCCAACCAAAUGGAAAGAACGAGAGAUUGCCUUUUGUAGCCUUUGAAACUCCCUCACUGAAUCUUUCUGGAUUAAAUUCCUUCGCAUCAUCACCCCACAAGUCUUUGUCCUGCUGCAGCAAGAUUGGGGCCACAAAGAUGAACAUUCCUUCGGGCAGUGAUAGUUCGCCUAAUUUAGUUUCUUCGGGAAUCAUUCGAAAAAGAUUUGCUGCCGGUGGAUAUAGCCUUAGAACCUCGUUAAGGAUCAUGGUAACCUUUAGAAAAAUAAACGUAAACAGAAGAAUGAUUAGUGGAGAUUGGAUCAACUAUCAAAAAAGUGCUAAGAUGGGAACAUAAUUUUGCAAGUUAUACUUACAAUUUUGAGGUGAUUUAAUUUACUAAUAUCAGGUUCAUUGUUGUCAAAAACCUGUAGAACCUCAUCCCUGGCACGAGCCUGCCAAUCAAAAUGUUGACUCAAUAAAAUUAAUGUCCAGGCGAGCAAUCCUGAGGUUGUCUCUUGUCCAGCCAAAUAGAAUAGCUUGCACUCCUCGAUGACUUCUUCAAGGCUCAUGCCGUUCUUAUUUCCAUGUUGUCGGAUCUCAUUCAAAUUGGAUUCCAAUAAAAUACCCAAC